ACUCUGAAUAUACUAUUGGCUGAUCAUUAUUCUUUUUAUAAAUAAAGGACCUUUGAAGAAUGUAGAAAAAUUGCGGACUUUUCAGACAACCUAAUAACAUAACGGCUUCUUAUUUACACAUAUUGCAAAAGUGUUUAACAUUUCAGCUGCAAGAUAGAGGAAUAAUGAAUCGUGGUGCGCUCAGCAGAAGGGGUUUCCAGCUUCUGUAGCUCUUCAUGUGUAUAAUUUUCUUAAUGAACUACUUUCAGGAUUUUGAGUAUUUCUCUAACAAUGAAAUAGCCUCCAGGAAUCCCAAACCUUUCAAUAUCAGACAAAUCACUUUGGAGAAUAAUCAGAUCAGACUAAUCUCAUGAUCAGUACAGGACAUCCGAAGAAUUGCGCUAAAAUGUGGAAGAAGCCUUUCGAAAGUUAAGGUCUCAGAUGCUCCGCUACCUAUCAAGGAGGACGUGGAACGUCAUUCAUUUGUGUAUGCAACAAGGAAUAUACACAGAUUCACUGGAUAUAUAUUCCUGUUUCCGCUUACAACUCCCUUCCAGAAUGAGAAUUUAGAAUCGCGUUGAAUGAAAAUGAGUUGAAUGAACACUACACAUCUUUUACUAAAUAUAUAAACUAAAAUUACACUUCCAUUACUCUCUGUGUUAUACCAAAUGUGUUAUACCAAAACCAUCUGCGUUAUCCAGGGAUGCGAGGAAUUCUUGGACACUCUGUGCAUUCAUCUGCCAGAAAAACGAUCAGUUAAGGAAAAGAAUGAAAAACGAAGUAAAAGAGAAAGUGAAAAAAAAU
Long non-coding RNA from Stegodyphus dumicola, 783 nucleotides. The record is from RefSeq and is a predicted model, not a curated record. Lineage: Eukaryota; Metazoa; Arthropoda; Arachnida; Araneae; Eresidae.